Molecule: non-coding RNA, 164 nt
Filed under: Candidatus Omnitrophota bacterium
Lineage: Bacteria; Pseudomonadati; Candidatus Omnitrophota
Description: Candidatus Omnitrophica bacterium 6S RNA
Rfam family: 6S / SsrS RNA
About the family: E. coli 6S RNA was the first non coding RNA to be sequenced, but its function was unknown until recently. It consists of 184 nucleotides that fold into an extended hairpin structure with a large single-stranded internal bulge.
Source: RNAcentral
AAUUCCCUGCCUUGCACGUGAGUAUUUGACAGAUUUAUAGAACCAACAAAAUAUUAAUGGGAACUGAACUUCGCAUAUCCCGAGGGCUAUGCGAGAGGUGCCUACCUGUUAGAGGACAGGGUUCAAUAAAAUGUCAAAUUGCCACGGCAUAGUGCGGGGAAUUU